GCAAGUCGAACGGCAGCACGAGAGCUUGCUCUUGGUGGCGAGUGGCGAACGGGUGAGUAAUAUAUCGGAACGUAUCCAAUAAUGGGGGAUAACUAAUCGAAAGGUUAGCUAAUACCGCAUACGCCCUACUGGGGAAAGCAGGGGAUCUUCGGACCUUGCGUUAAUGGAGCGGCUGAUAUCUGAUUAGCUAGUAGGUGAGGUAAAGGCUCACCUAGGCUUCGAUCAGUAGCUGGUCUGAGAGGACGACC
This 248-nucleotide ribosomal RNA is filed under the name uncultured bacterium. RNAcentral describes it as "partial 16S ribosomal RNA". It matches the Rfam family "Bacterial small subunit ribosomal RNA", at positions 57 to 305 of the family's 1533-position model. The record is from RNAcentral.